UGAGCCGCCUAUUGGCUGUGGAGAUUCCAUAAUGAAGCACAUGAACACCUGUAGGAAUACUGGAAUCCAGGGAAUCCAGGUGAAGAGUUGGAACAAGUUGGUUGGAUAAAUAUAGGUAGGGAGAGGCGACAAGCAAAUUUGGAAAUCCCAGCCAACAUCUUGCAAUGUGGAGGAAGCUUGAAGGAACAUAACACUACAGGUUGCGAGAAAGCGGGAGUAACUGUUCUGCCCUUCUUGGGAAAGAUUCCCACUAAAUGCCUGCUAAGUGCAGAGAGAGGCAGAAUCAGUCCCUACGUUUCUGUUAUCACAGGUAUCUGCUGGUGUGUGUCUCCCUGUGUGAGUAUGCAUUUGUGUUAUCUCCUUAUCUUACAACUGAAUGUCAACUACCUCCUCCGUCCAAAUUAUGAAAAAUAUCACGCAGCGCCCUGACAUAUUUACAGUAAGUUUGAACUGCUUCCUGCAAUAACAUAGAUUAAUGCUAUAUGAAAUCCCCUUUCAUAUAACUACAGAUAUAGAUCCAUACAUCCCUAGAGAUAUUGGAGUGAGCAGUAAUUUAUGUUAUGAUAUGUUACGUUCCUAUCAUCAUACCGUAUCGUAGAUCAUGAUCCAGGCACGAAACCAAACUUCAGGAAAAUUUAUGAUGCAAUAACUAAAAUGAAGGGUGAAAACUUGCUUAUUAAAGUGAAAUCUCUGCUCACUAAAAAUAUAUAUUUCCCUUUCACAUGCAAUCACAAAAGAGAACUAAUCAUUUUGACUGGGAGCUAUGGAUUUUUUGUGUUUAUUUUAUUCUCUUAUUGUUACAUUUAAAAAAAAUUGGACUUGAUAAACGUAAUGGUUUUGCAUUACGUUCCCAAUGUACCUCUAAAUGCUCACUUGAGCUCCCUGUUAUUAAUUUAAGUAGAGAGGGAAGAACUGUGGGAAUGGAGUGAAAAAUAGUAGCAGUUAACUACUAGUAGUUGUAGGCAGCACUGCUGAGCGUGAACCUCCAGGGGUAACCUGUAAUGAUGAUCACAUAUUUGUUGUCCUUGGCCCUCUGGAAGGUGGAAAUAAAGCUUAAAUUGUAGUUUCACUAAAUGGUGACCUGAUUACCUAUUUAAUUCAGGAAAUGCCAUUGUGCUAUUGUAACAGCUGCAAGUGAGAGCAGCAAGAUAACUCAAGUAAAACAAACCACUCUUGAUGCUGUGCACCCGCCUAUUUUUAUCCAAACAACUUCUGGGUUUUGUUUUUGUUAUCUCCUUCUGUUUGGCUGCUUAUUCCCUGGAAAUGAUGCAGAAGGCUCUUUUUGACUGCUGUGAUUAGCUUGUUUGAAAGCUUCCUCUCCUGCUCCCCCCACCCCCCCGCCGUCGCCACCCAGCUCUUACCCCUCCUCGAAAUUCUCCCUGUCAUAAAUUUUGCAUUACUUGGUGCACACAAUAAUGCGACAUAAAAUUAAAUAAACAAUUUAAUUAAUUUAAUUAAAAUUAAAUAUUAAACAUAUUGUGUAUGAGGAUCCCGUGCCUUUGAUUUAAUUGGGCAGGAGUACCCAAAGCAGUUUGGGUAACAGUGAAAAAUAAUUAAAAACAACAAGUAUGGUUGCCUCUGGGCAUGAAGAAUAGUCGGGGAGCUUCCUCCUGAGAAAGGUUUACUUAAUUAAAACUAAACUAAUCUUGCAGAAGAGGAGGGGGGAAACUUGAUAAGCAUUUCAUAAUACAAAUCAUAAUCCCCAAAAAGUGAAGCGCAUGUUCCUUCUACAUGGCACAUGAAGAGAAACUUAAAUCGUUUUUGUUCUGCCACAAGGUGCUCUUUGGCCACACAUGUGAACACUCAACAGACACACUUAGAUGGCCUAGAUAAAUAAGUUUUUGGUUUUUUAAAGGCAUAAAAGGCCCAUCGUCUAUGUACCUCAGCUAAAACGCUCUUUAUUGCUUCUUAUCAUUACAAAUAUAUAAUAACAUGCAGGAAAGCACAGUAAUCGUAGUCCCUUUCCUUCCUUUAAAUCCACAGCUUUUCUGCCAGCUCCAGUCACCUUAUUUAAAAACCAAGCCAUGACUCAUGUUGGCAGGUGGGCCUUUUGGUUACGUUUCCAUAUGCCAAGAAGAAGGUCUGUGCUGAGCUUUCACAGACAUCCCUUAAAACACCUUCCAUUCAUAAUACACCAUAUUCUUUUCCUUCGCAGAAGGAUAGGAGCUGAUUUACACACGGCAUCCUAUCAAUACAUGGUUUUUGCCAAAUACUUGCAGUUAUACAAUCCACAGUGGUGGGGGUGCGGGGGGGGGGAGGCGAGGAAUCCGAACACUAUGAAGAAGUUGGAUAUGUCCCAAGGUAGCACAUUGUACGAGCCAGACAUCAAAUAGACCCGCUUAGAAUUGCCACACAAACCACUGUCCUCCAAUGGGCUUACAAAAACGUUGACAGGUUUUAUAGCCUGAUUCAAAAACAAAUGCCUUCUUCUAACACGUUUGGCUGCGGCAACGGCCGCAAGAAAAUUAUCUUAGCAACCUGGUAUUAAGUGAAUGUAUUGAAAUACGUCCUAAUUAACAUUUUAGGUGGAUGGUCCCGACAUGAGAGAGUCUUUUAAGCUUGUCUUUUAAAGUCACUGUUUUGUCUGGAGGGAGCUUUGUGAAAUAGGAAUAUACAAGUGAAGACCUGUGUCAAUUUAUGAAUGUUUUGGAUGUAUAUACAUUCUCGGUGUCAGGGGUGGGAAACCUCAGGCCCAAAUGCAUUCCUUCAGGCCCUUUUAUUUGACCUUCAGAACACUUCCCAAGCCACACUUCCUCAAUGGCCCUGCUUUCCCUGCUCCAGCUGUCCAAAUGGUUUUAUUUACUUGAAAUCUGUCCUCGACUUCUGAUAAUGCCUCUUGCUUAGUUGGAUGGAGGACAGUGAUGCGUAUUUGGGUGUGUGCAGAAAACUGGAUUACUGUACAAAAAUAAAUUUAACUUAGUUGUUCUGCAUCUGACCCUGCCCACCACUAGAAUGUGGCUCUCAGAAGGUUGCCCAGAAGGGAAGGUGGCCCUCAGAUUGAAAAAGGUGCACCACUACUACUCUAUGGCCUCAUUCAUAGAAUAAACUACUCCCACUAUUAACCACACCAUUAAACCACUAGAAUACCACUUUAAACAGCCAUAGAUUCCUCCAAAGAAUUCGGGAAGUUUCUUAAGGAUGCUAAGUGGUGUUAGGAGACCCCCUAGUCUGCUUCCAGAGCAAUAAUAAUAAUAAUAAUAAUAAUAAUAAUAAUAAUAAUUUAUUAUUUAUACCCCACCCAUCUGGCUGGGUUUCCCCAGCCAUACUGGGCAGCUCCCAACAGAAUUAAAAGCACCAUAAACCAUCAAACAUUAAAAACUUCCCUAAACAAGGCUGCCUUCUAAAAGUCAGAUAGUUGUUUGUUUCCUUGACAUUUGAUGGGAGGCCAUUUCACAGGGCGGGCACCACUACUGAAAAGGCCCUCUGCCUGGAUGCCUGUAACCUCACUUCUCGGGAACCACCAGAAAGCCCUCGGAGCUGGACCUCGGUGCUAAAUGAUGGGGGUGGAGAUGCUCCUUCAGGUAUAGUGGGCCGAGGCCAUUUAGGGCUUUAAAGGUCAGCACCAACACUUUGAAUUGUGCCCGGAAACGUACUGGGAGCCAAUGUAGGUCUUUCAGGACCGGUGUUAUAUGGUCUCAGCGGCCACUCCCAGUCACCAGUCUAGCUGCUGCAUUCUGGAUUAGUUGCAGUUUCUGGGUCACCUGCAAAGGUAGCCCCACGUAGAGCGCAUUGCAGUAGUAUUCUCAGAAUGGCUUGACAAUCUUUCACACAAUCUUUCAAAAGGAACUCUGAGAAUUUCUCAGAGCUCUUGGAGGGGAAUGGGGUCUCCUAACUGUGGGAUAACCAAUCUCCUAUAACCAACAUGCUUCAAUCUGAUUAAUGCACAAAGCGGUUAAUACCAUAAAGUAAGCUGUCCUGCCAGACUUACUGAGGUCACUUCCUGUUACCAUGGGAAGAAAUGGGUAAGCAAACCUAUUGUUAACCUUCCAGUCUACCUGAGAAGUUCAAUUAGGAAGGAGGCUUCAGGUUGUUGGUUGCUGGUUGCUCCAGCUCAGACCGCAUGGCUCUCAUCAGCCACUCUUGAGUUCCUAUACCAGUUAUUUAGGAACUUUCACCAUUUUGUAACUAAAACAAGUUUCCUGCCUGUGCAACUUUUUCUGAAUGCUACAUGGAAAAGCACAUGAAUCUGACCUUUGGAGAGUUUGUAAGUAAAUCAUUUUAAACUUCCCUAACAUGUUGUCUUUUACUAUGCUAGGGGAAGAGGAGAACUUUGGAACUCACUUUAAAGGACAGAUUUUAAAUGUCUAACAGCCUAUAUUUCCAUGCUUUACUUGCUGCAUAUUUUAAAUCUCUGCUGGGGUUCACUCCCCAAAGAAUACUUUCCUCAAACUAGGAUCUUGGUAUUCAGUAAUUCUCCUUUUACACCUAUUUCCCUUCUGCACCAACACCAGCACUCUUAAAAACAUUACAGCCCCCAGGAUUAUUGAGGAGAGGGGAGCCAUGACUGUUCAAAGGGGAAUCUUAGUACUUUAAACAUAUGAUGUGAAUGUGAUCUAUAGCAAUUCUCCCUUUAUCUUUCCUUAGAGUCCCGCUACCACAUUCACACAUAAACACACUAUAGGCACUCACAAUCGAACAACUGACCUCAACAGGGUGCUCUAGUCUCUUUCCUGCCAUGCUCCUUCCCACCAGCAACACAAAGCCUAUCCAUUCCUGGGACUUGAGCUCUGACAUAUAAUUAGCAUUCUAUUGCACCUCAGCAGCUGAGCCAGUGGACUUAUCUUAAUGAAUGGCUGCAGAAGCUCUAAUAGCCAGUAGUCUUUGAGAUCUGAAGGACUGUUCUGCAAGUUGUUGGGGUGUUUCGUUUUUGUGUUGCUUACUUUCUGUUUUCAAUUACCAUAUUUACUCAAAUCAAAUGCUCACCUUUUUUUGGCCAAAUUACGUUGUGAAAAUUAAGGUGCGCACUGGCACAGUACAAUAAAUAUAACAAAAGCACCACAGCACCUCCUAACAGCACUCCCUAAGCCAUUUCCAGCAAGUUUAAGGUUCACAGUGGGGCAAGAACCACUAUAUAUUGGCAGGUAUGCACUCUGUGCCCUGCAUGUUUACUCAGAACUGUGGUGGACUUUGGGCUUCCAAACUUCAGCAGCACCCUGUAUAACACCAACAUUUAGCACCAGCCCCUGCCUCUCACCUUGCAUUCUAAGUCAUGGUUGCAGUGCCCUCUUGGCUCAGUGCCCAGUGCGGGAAAUUCAGUCACACUCCCCCAAAUCCACCACUGCUCAGAAGUCCAGCUGAGCUCAGGUAAGUAGUGAUGUGCACAUGAGUCUGCCGUGUUAAUUUUACAUGCAGUUUAUCUCUCAGCAGCCAUGAUAAGCGCUCUAAAUUAACCAGUGCUGGCUUUGCCUUUCCAGAUUGUCAAGCAGGCAAUUCUUGUGUCUUAUCAAACUAUCUCCACGUGUCUCUGUGAACAGCGCCUUUUUGUCCCACAGUAAAACCAAAACACAUGCACGGAGGGUUCGCUUCCAAAAUGAAAGCACUGGAAUAAGCAAAGGAAGCAGCAUAAAAUGCGUUGCAGGCCAUGGAAGCAUUAAAGAGAAGUGAGGCAACGUGCAGUGCAGACAGGCUCUGCCACCCUUUGCACUCUUUGCAACAUUAACCCAUAUGCAUUUUAUAGUCAUUAGCAACUGUACUAACGAGAAGUUCUGUAAGGGAGGGGCGCUCUUACACUGCUGUGCAGGCCUGAAGCUUCUACUUUGGCCAUUCUUAUGGCUGAAAGGGUGACAUUCGCAUCUCCUACCUUUAAUUCCUUGCGACUUUGAGAGAGCCAUACGAUUUUAAGCUCCCUAAAGAAACUUUGUUUGACGCCCUCCUCAAAUAAGCAAAAAAAGGUUCUGACUUAAAAGCUUCUUGGCCUUGACCAUAUUCCCUGCCAAUGAGUUGUGUCAGGUUUCAGAAAUGAAAUGUUAAUCCAGACAAGGCAGAGGAGCUAAGACCAUAGCUCAAUGAAAAAGCACAUGGAUUGCAUGCAAAAGGUCCCAAUUUAAACACCGCCCCCUCCGCCUCGCUUCUCCGGGUAUGACUAAGAAUUGGAAAGAAAUCUGUCUGAAACCUUAGAGAGCAGCUUCCUGUGUUGAGCUAGAUGGGCUUAUAGUAUCAGGCAGUGGCAUGUGGUGAAUUUUUUCGUAGGGCAACAGUUAGGGCCAGAGGUGCCAGUUUACAAGAGCAAUAGGGGGAGGGGGCGAUGUCGCGCGUGUGAUCUAGUGACAUCCCAACAUCACUGGGCUGAAGUUUCCCAGGCUGAAGCUUCCCAGUAUCUGACAGGAUACUGGAGCCCUGCAGCCUCCUUCCCCAAGCUGGGCAGGCUUUGGGAAGAUGGCGGGAGGGCUCUUGGACCCCGUCAGAGCAUUGCACCACCUUCUAAUUUGCAGUUAGGCAACUAGCAUAGCUUUCCCCCCGGCCCACAGACCACACAUCUCUGAUAUCAGGUCCCAUCAGCCUAUUUUAGAUGAGGUUGCGCUCCACAUGAAGUAACAGGUUGGCAACUCGGGGGUGCUGGAGAAAUCAGGCAUUAACCGUGCUCAUUCCCUAGUCUAGAUAGGAUUCCUGCAACAACACAGAGAUGUGCAACUGCUGUUCAUACCAUCUUUCAUGACUUAAAGAAUCUCGGUUAUUAACAAGAGUCUUCAGAUUGCCCAAGGUGUACUAAGGCACUGUGCCUAGUAGUAUUCUGUUCCAUUAUAAAAUAAUAUUAUGUCUGGGUAGGCUUCCCUGAAUACAAAAGUUCUUAGUAGAAAUGUUUUUAAACACACACAGAGUGGGGGGAGGGAUGCAUACACACACCAGUGGUGAACUAUGCCAGGAAGAAGAAAAAUGUGAUUGUCAGAAAGAUUUCCAAAGUACAAAACAGAUGUUAAACUCAGCAAGCAGAACAAAAGAAAAAUACUAGUAAUGUUAGUAAUGCUACACCCACAAAACGUCACAAAUCUGUUGCACGCCUACGAAGCUAUCACAAACUUCCUGAUCCAGCAUGCACAAUAAACACAAGAGCAUGAUUCUGAUCCUUUAGAACAGGGGUAAGAUGUUCUUAGAUGACAGCUUCAAUCAUCCCUGAUGAAUGACCCUGCUGGCUGGGACUGAUGAGAUUCUGGAUUCCCACAGCAUUUGGAGGGCCACAAGUUUUCAGAGUUGGUGGGGGAAAUGUCACAGAAUUUAGUAAAAACAAGAUCAGAAGAUGGUUGUUGUUGUUGUUAGCACAACAACUCUUCAGCCAGACCAAAAGCAGUGCAAAUGCCAAGGUACGUCCAGAAAGACAUAUUUAGAAGUUUGGUUUGUGACACAUGGUGAAGAGCUCAAAGCAAUUCUUCAAUCUAAACACCGUGGGCUGGAUCUGAUGAUCUGUUGCAGAGUCAUAUCUUCAUAAUAGCCAAAAGUGAAGCUAAAAUUUGAGUGAGGCGUGCCACCCCCAAUUAGUGAUUCAACUCAUUGAUGCUAAUAAGAUAACUCUCCCGAGUAAGUGAUGCCAGGUCUGGACAGGCCCUUUUAGAGUUGUCAUUCAAAGAUUCACAUGAUUGCAGUUGCUUGAGCGUGAAGAACAAAGGUUUCUAGUUACAGAACCAACGCCAUAUACCCCUUUGAUUUUGCAGAAAUAUUUGCUGCAAACCCAACAUUCAAAUUCUUCUAGCAUUGGCUGGCAUCAUUCGAAGAUGCCUAUCGUGUAACAGUAGUAACGUAAAACAAAUGUCUAGAUAUUAGAUAGGUCUGUUUGGGAUAAGCAUUCACUAGGUUUCCAGGUUGCUGGGGGUUUUAUAAUUACAGUUUAUUGCAGGACACCAACACACAGAUAGCAAUAAAUGUGUUGCCUGAAGAUGAUGUUCUUUGAUACAUUGAAGGGUUCAUAAUCCUUUGUAAUAUAUUCUAUCUUGAAUCCUUGCUUUCUGUGUAUAAAAUAUUUCCAGAAAAUUCUGGGUGUGCUCCAACCGAAGCAAGGCACUUUUGAGUUUCGCUGUUUUGAAUGGGAAGGAUGUAGACAUAUGCUCUGCUCCAAGGGAUUAUUAUUCAUAUUAUUUUAUUUGUUAAAUUUCUAUACCACCCUUCAUCCGAGGAUCACAGUGGAACUUCACAGUGGAGCUUAAUUAUGGCUGCAUCACGCCACCUAUAAGCUGUAGAAAAUGAACUUCCAGCAUUACUAAUGACCCUGCUUGCUACAGAUUUUCUGUGUAUCAUUUGAGGCAAAUCGUGGUCCCCCACAACAGGCUUAGUUGGGGAUAGCAAGCAGCGCUGGAUGGAGCCCCAGUGGGCCUGGGAGCUGCCAUUUUAGUUUCCUACAAUCCCCAUACAUUGCAUUAUUCUAGAGCAUUGAAUGAAAUUAAAAGGUUGGCUCCCAGACCCCCCAAGGACAUUCCCCAUGAUAUCUCCAAGGAACACUGCAUUGGGGAACAUUGGGGAAAAUUAAACAGCAGCCUCCUAGGGCAGGAUUCAGUGACGGACACUGUAGCCCUCAAAAGAUUAUGUGUAAGGACACUGGACCUCUUUGUGAUCAUGGCUAAACAUAAGUGAAUUUCAGAUAUUCAAGACGGCUUUGUAUUAGAGCUUGGACCUGUUGCUUCAGUGGUGAAGUAACUCAAGAGUGAGAGUUUAUAUAGGAGCUGGCUGUUAGGCAGAUCCUGAUUCUGGCAGGUGCUUGCAUGCAUUUCCCCUUCCUCCUAAGUAGCCUCAUAGGCAGUUGACCAGCCACUUUGCCAGCAACUCUGAGGCUCUUGCAUGGCUCAUCAUCUCUGUUGCUCCCGUGGUCCUGAGAGUUUUGUCCUAUUAAGGACUGGUGGCUGUAUGUUUCUCUACCUACAAGUUUAAAUGUCAUGACUUCCUGCAAAAAAUCUUCUUCUUAUUUCAGCAAGGGUAUUGAGAAUUCUUACAGCACAGCAUGAACAUAAUAAAAACUAAACUAAAAACAGCAACUGCAGAAGCCAACACUGCAACAAAUAGACUCUCACAUCUCUAGAUCCUAAAAGUAGCAAGCAAAUGGUAUAAACAACAAGGCAAUAUGAAAGCUUGUGCAAAUAAGAAUAUUUUCACUUCAUAUGUCAAACUUAUGACCACAAGGGCCAGGCAUGCGGAUCUAGAGAGGACAUACAACAGGUGAUGUACCACCCAUAGAAAAAGCCAGUUCUCCAGUCCCCACCAGCCUGACCCAGAGAUGGACCUUCCCAGAUGACUUCAAAGCAUGGGCAUCAUACAAGAGUAAGUGGUCCUUGAUUUCAAUCCUGAUUUCAAAUCAUAUAAGGCUUAUCCACAUGUUACACUUAAAACAGGUAGAAGUUGUCUCUACACAAGUACUAGUGUGGAAGGGUUACAGCUUAGUGCUAGAGCAUCUGCUUUGCAUGGUUCCAGGUUCCAGGUUCAAUCCCUGGCAUCUUCAGGUAGGGCUUGGAGAUAGCCCUGCCUGCAAUCCUAGAGAGCCACUUCCAGUUAGUGUAGACAGUACUGGGCUAGACAAACCAAUGGUCUGACUCAGUAGAAGGCAGCUCCUUAUGUUCUUAGGUGUUUGUGAGAAACAGUGUAUAUUUGUUGAUCUGUGCAGCUCAGUGAUUCAUGUACACAGACUGUACAUUUGUCAAACUUAACAUGUGAACGCCCCUAUAGUGUUGUUGUUGUUUCGGUUAAUACCAACAUUUUUAAUUGUGCCAAUAAAUACUUGGGAAGCCAGCAAAGCUGUUUCAAAACUAGCAAGAUGUGUUCUGCAUUUUGAACUAAUUGCAGUUGCCAAGAGAUCCUCAAAUACAGUCCCACUGGCAGCAUUCCUAGUGAAGGCUGGGUGUUACUGGAGCAUGGAUAACCAUGACAAAGCUACCUUCUGUCCAGGUGGGGUUGCUCUGCACCACCUAGGCUGGUGAAAGUGCUUUGUGUCACUAAUGCUGUUUGAGCAUCCAAAGCACUCCCAGUCUGUCUAUCUGAUCUUUAAGAGCAAUGCUAUCCAGAAAAUAUCGAAAAUCCCACAUGUAAGGGCAUCUUGACGGAAAACUUUUUUUAACGGAGAACCAGCGUGUGUUUGUGUUUUAAAGAUGCAGUCUAUACUCACCUGCCUACAGACACUACUGCUUUCAAGGAAACAUAAGCCGGUCAAACAGACCAUCUACUAACAGCAGCCUCAUCUUGUCUUGAUGUUGAGCCAGCUGUCAUCCAUAUGCUGAUGACAUUUUACACCACUCAGAGGGUGGAGUAAUGACAUUAUCUCACUCAAAGGGUUCAUGGAGAUUGAGGACAGAAUGGAGGACAGGAUAGAUCUCUAGAAAACAUCAUAGCACAGAUUCCAUGGUGCAGAGGGCAGGACUAAAAAGACAUGGGCAUAUUCUUAUAGGUACACGGUUGCUUGAUUGUUUAUUCCUAUUGCUUAAGAGGAAAUCAAGAGGGUUCGAGAUUAUGGAGACAUGGAAUCUUGAGACUAACAGUAUAAUAUAGCUAAAAGCAGGUGGGAACUUGCUGCAGAAGCAAAGCAAAGCUCCUAGUGCAUGCUUGGGCAAGAGUUUUAAAUAAAGCCUUGAUGAACACAAGGAUUUGGGUAAUGGCAGCAUGGCAACUGUCUUGAAGAUGAAUCUAGGGGUGGGACAUGGUGUACUGCAUUAGGAGCCUUUUGCUCAUGAGGAUAGAACAGCAAGACAAGGAACUGGGUUAUCACUGAGGAGCAGACAAAGAUCUGGGGAGUCAACUAGAAAGGACACCACAAGUUGGGUGGAGAUAGGGAAAGGGGCUAAAAGGCUGUGGUCAGAUCGAUAUAAGUAGCAGAGAUAUGGGUAAGUUCUGGAAUGGAGGAACUAAAUGAGUAAGUAUGAAGCAAGAAGGACCUGGUGUUAGACACAUGAGAACCUAUGCAUGUGUUGCUCAUUUUCUGUUAUUUCUUACUUACUCUUCAUUUUGUUAUAGUUAAAUUACAUUACAAUAAAUAUUUAAGAACAUUUGAAAUUGUCUGAUCUAUCACUGUUUGGUUCCAGAGGUGAGGAGACCCCAGUGAAUUCCAGGUUUGCAUCUUCAAGCAGAGUUAUAGGAGCCUUACUGGCAAGUGUUAAGUGUCACAUCAUAAAACUUCUCAUAAAAUGAAAUUCCACAGCUCCAGCUUCUGGAACUGCCUGUCAAAUAGGAGUGGAAACAUCUGGGUAUGGUACCACUUAGUCCCUACCUGACUAACUGAUCCAGAAGGAUGCUUGAUGGUGUCAAGGGCUGCUGAGACGUCUAAAACAAUCAGCAUGGCCACAUUCUGCCCCCACCCCUAUCCUCCUUCUAGCAUAGGUCAGGAUAACCCUGAGGACAACCAAGGCAGUUUUAGUGGCGUGCCUGGAGAUGAAGGACCACCAACCCACUCAAGAGAAAGAGAUAUUAGCAACUGGUUGGGUAGCUUAUCCUCCAGUUCCAGGCUCAGCUUCUUCAGGAGUGGCUUCAUGAUCACCUCCUACAAGGCAGACAGGCCCUCUCUCUGUCUCUCUCUCCAAAUGAAGCAUUUACAGUCUCUUGGAACCAACCAGUCAUCACACUCCUAUCAGAUGUUCUAAGCCGUUGCAGGCAAGGAUUGGGUAAAACACUGCCAAGUCAUACUCCUCAGAGCACCCUGUCCACAUCCUCGGGUCACAAUAACUGAAAUUCAUCCAUGUGAAAAUGACUCUGCAACUACCUAGGUGCCAUGAUAGAUAUGAGUGGUUUUGUUCUCAAAGUAAUUUAUUUAUUUUAAAUAUUUAUACACCACACACUCCACUAGAAAAUUUAACAGGGUGGUAUACAGCACAAAAACACAAUAUUACCAUAACAUCAGUAUAAAAAAUAUCAAAAAUCUAUUUUUAAAAACUGGGAUCUUUUUUAAAAAUGCAAUUUAAAACAACAACUCUUUCUGAAUUCCUAUUGGCAAGAAGUUCCACAGGGCAGAUCCUGAUGCACUAAAGGCUCAGUCCCUAAUAAAGGCUGGCUGUAUCUCAGGAGCAAAAGCGUCCCAUUGGAAGAUCUUGGGGGUGGAGGUGGAGCAAAGGGAAUCAGAUCGUUCUUAAGAUGUUUUGGACUCAGUUUGUUUAGGGCCCUUGUGAAUUUAUACAAGAACCCUGAAUGGGACAGCAGAUUAGCAACCUUUAAAAAUGGGUCAAAGACAUUCCCUAGUUCCCAGGUAGGCAGCAUAAUGACCCCCAGUUGUUGGACUACUCACAAUCACCUCUGACCAGUGGCCAUGUUGGCAGGGGCUGGUGGGAAUUGUUGUGCAACAAUAUCUGGAGGGCACAACAGUGACUGCUCCUUCCCUGCCCUUUGGUUAUAGAGCUAUAUUACUCAGAGUUCCCUGGUAAGAGAGAAUGACUGUUCAACCAACUGGUAGAGUAGGUAUGCCCAAGUAUCCAGUGAUAUGCAUGAUGCUUUAAGUCUACAAAAAUAUGUAGAUGUGUUGUUUUUGUGGCAAUGCAAGAGAGUAGCUGUGAUUUCAGCUUUGGUGGGAACAUGAGUAGAGCAAAGAGGACUAAUAUCAAUGGGACUGUACAAAAGACCUAACUCCAUUUGGGACCUUGUCUUGGAUGUCUUUCCUCAGCCAAUACUAGUCUUGUUUAGAUGCUUGGUUUAGCUUGAACCAGAGUGUCUAUAGAUCUCUGGCUAUUUCCUUUCCCCAGCCCCCCACAAUAGUAGCCCCAGGGCAAUUUUACAUACUAAAAAGGUAAAGGUACCCCUGCCCGUACGGGCCAGUCGUGUCCGACUCUAGGGUUGUGCGCCCAUCUCACUUAAGAGGCCGGGGGCCAGCGCUGUCCGGAGACACUUCCGGGUCACGUGGCCAGCAUGAUGAAGCUGCUCUGGCGAGCCAGCACCAGCGCAGCACACGGAAACGCCGUUUACCUUCCCGCUAUAAAGCGGUACCUAUUUAUCUACUUGCACUUAGGAGUGCUUUCGAACUGCUAGGUGGGCAGGAGCUGAGACCGAAAGACGGGAGCUCACCCCGCCGACCAUGCGAUCGGCAAGUCCUAGGCACUGAGGUUUUACCCACAGCGCCACCCGCGUCCCAUAAUUUUACAUACUAGGUAACUACAAAUCUGGAGGUCCACCACAUGUCUACUCAUAAGAGAGAGAAACUUAGUCAAUCACAGCUUUUUUAAAAGACUUUGUCACCCUCUCUAUCCCUGUGUUCAGAUGUACACCGAAAAAGUAUUGGACUACACCUACCAAAAAUGUAAUGCAUGAAGAUGCCUUGGCAUGUUGGAGAUGAUGUUGGGCAGGAUUUUGGAAAUGACUUUGGUCCUCAGCAAGAAGAGGUUGGAGAGGAAGAAGAAGAAAAAGCCCACCUCGUUUCCCAGUGUCUGGUUGCACCAAAGCCGCAUUAUUUGGGAAGUGAUAAAAGGGUGAGGAAUGGUGGUGUCUUUAAGCAGUUAAACAUUGCCAAUAAAGAUCUUGCAAGCU
This is a non-coding RNA of Podarcis lilfordi (Lilford's wall lizard), 13410 nucleotides long. Lineage: Eukaryota; Metazoa; Chordata; Lepidosauria; Squamata; Lacertidae. The record is from the annotation of a GenBank genome assembly.